This 498-nucleotide ribosomal RNA is filed under the name uncultured bacterium. RNAcentral describes it as "partial 16S ribosomal RNA". It matches the Rfam family "Bacterial small subunit ribosomal RNA", at positions 27 to 507 of the family's 1533-position model. The record is from RNAcentral.
GGAUGAACGCUGGCGGCGUGCCUAAUACAUGCAAGUCGAGCGAACAGACGAGGAGCUUACUCCUCUGACGUUAGCGGCGGACGGGUGAGUAACACGUGGAUAGCCUACCUAUAAGACUGGGAUAACUUCGGGAAACCGGAGCUAAUACCGGAUAACAUGUUGAACCGCAUGGUUCAACAGUGAAAGACGGUCUUGCUGUCACUUAUAGAUGGAUCCGCGUCGCAUUAGCUAGUUGGUAAGGUAACGGCUUACCAAGGCAACGAUGCGUAGCCGACCUGAGAGGGUGAUCGGCCACACUGGAACUGAGACACGGUCCAGACUCCUACGGGAGGCAGCAGUAGGGAAUCUUCCGCAAUGGGCGAAAGCCUGACGGAGCAACGCCGCGUGAGUGAAGAAGGUCUUCGGAUCGUAAAACUCUGUUAUUAGGGAAGAACAAAUGUGUAAGUAACUAUGCACGUCUUGACGGUACCUAAUCAGAAAGCCACGGCUAACUACGUG